AUUGAACGCUGGCGGCAGGCCUAACACAUGCCAGUCGAGCGGAUGAAGGGAGCUUGCUCCUGGAUUCAGCGGCGGACGGGUGAGUAAUGCCUAGGAAUCUGCCUGGUAGUGGGGGAUAACGUCCGGAAACGGGCGCUAAUACCGCAUACGUCCUGAGGGAGAAAGUGGGGGAUCUUCGGACCUCACGCUAUCAGAUGAGCCUAGGUCGGAUUAGCUAGUUGGUGGGGUAAAGGCCUACCAAGGCGACGAUCCGUAACUGGUCUGAGAGGAUGAUCAGUCACACUGGAACUGAGACACGGUCCAGACUCCUACGGGAGGCAGCAGUGGGGAAUAUUGGACAAUGGGCGAGAGCCUGAUCCAGCCAUGCCGCGUGUGUGAAGAAGGUCUUCGGAUUGUAAAGCACUUUAAGUUGGGAGGAAGGGCAGUAAGUUAAUACCUUGCUGUUUUGACGUUACCAACAGAAUAAGCACCGGCCAACUUCGUA
This 484-nucleotide ribosomal RNA is filed under the name uncultured bacterium. RNAcentral's name for it is "partial 16S ribosomal RNA". It matches the Rfam family "Bacterial small subunit ribosomal RNA", at positions 30 to 507 of the family's 1533-position model. The record is from RNAcentral.